AAAAAGAUAAGCUAAUUUUAAGCUAUUAGGUUCAUACCCUGAGGAUAGAAGUUCUAACCUUCUUCUUUUUA
Molecule: transfer RNA, 71 nt
Filed under: Sycanus bifidus
Lineage: Eukaryota; Metazoa; Arthropoda; Insecta; Hemiptera; Reduviidae
Description: Sycanus croceovittatus tRNA-Met
Rfam family: tRNA
About the family: Transfer RNA (tRNA) molecules are approximately 80 nucleotides in length.
Source: RNAcentral